AUUGAACGCUGGCGGCAUGCCUUACACAUGCAAGUCGAACGGCAGCGGACCUUCGGGUGCCGGCGAGUGGCGAACGGGUGAGUAAUAUAUCGGAACGUACCUUUCAGUGGGGGAUAACGUAGCGAAAGUUACGCUAAUACCGCAUAUUCUGUGAGCAGGAAAGCAGGGGAUCGCAAGACCUUGCGCUGAUUGAGCGGCCGAUAUCAGAUUAGCUAGUUGGUGAGGUAAAGGCUCACCAAGGCGACGAUCUGUAGCGGGUCUGAGAGGAUGAUCCGCCACACUGGAACUGAGACACGGUCCAGACUCCUACGGGAGGCGGCAGUGGGGAAUUUUGGACAAUGGGCGCAAGCCUGAUCCAGCCAUGCCGCGUGAGUGAAGAAGGCCUCGG
RNAcentral lists this ribosomal RNA (388 nucleotides) under uncultured bacterium. RNAcentral describes it as "bacterial SSU rRNA". It matches the Rfam family "Bacterial small subunit ribosomal RNA", at positions 30 to 420 of the family's 1533-position model. The record is from RNAcentral.